UACGAAAGGGGCUAGCGUUGUUCGGAAUUACUGGGCGUAAAGCGCACGUAGGCGGCCUUGUAAGUUGGGGGUGAAAUCCCAGGGCUCAACCCGGGAACUGCCUUCAUGACUGCAAAGCUAGAGGAUGCGAGAGGUUAGCGGAAUUCCGAGUGUAGAGGUGAAAUUCGUAGAUAUUCGGAAGAACACUAGUGGCGAAGGCGGCUAACUGGCGCAUUUCUGACGCUGAGGUGCGAAAGCGUGGGGAGCAAACAGG
RNAcentral lists this ribosomal RNA (253 nucleotides) under uncultured bacterium. RNAcentral describes it as "partial 16S ribosomal RNA". It matches the Rfam family "Bacterial small subunit ribosomal RNA", at positions 524 to 776 of the family's 1533-position model. The record is from RNAcentral.